UUUUUUUUUUUUUGUCAAACAUUGGUGCUUAAAAGAAUAUUAUGGUCAACUAGCUUUAGUUAAUAUCAACACAAAUGACAGAUACAUGACAGAUAAUUCAACUCCAGGAAAGAUUUUUAGUUAUUUUGUGACUGCAUUUGAAGACCAGAUAAAACCCUAGCUUUACAGUAUUAACAUUCUAUGGAAAGAAAAAGGUAUAUACAAGAUCUAGUAUACAUGAUUCUAUGAUAUAAUCACUGAAAAUCAAGAUGUAGUAUUUAAAUCUUUGUUGAUACUUUAUGCUGCUAGUCAUCAACAAAUUUAAAAAAAAAAAAAACACAUGUAGGAGAUAUUAGACAAUGAACCCAUUCAUUGCUUUAAAAUUUUGCCUCUCACAAUUACAAGAAUACAACAAAGGGAAGGGCAUUUGUAAACUCUAAUAGGGAAUUUCAGGAAAUUUAUAGCAAUAAAAUUGGACAACAUUUCAGGGGAAAAAUGCCCUACUGACUGAAAAGAGGUCACAGGCUUUGGAAACUGGAAUGGAAAAUGGACAAUUUUGUGCAGCAGCAAAGGCAGAAGUCAGAAAACUAUGAGUAGGAAUCAAGGCAGUAGAGACAGUUGUUUGUUUCCAAAUAGUCCUUCUCCCUUAUUCCUCUGGUAUAAAACCCCCACAUUUAUCUGGAUAAGCAGCUUUCCUAGUAAGACAGUAUUUCUCAUCCUCCUUGAAGUAGUUAUGUGCAGCCAUGAGUUUAAAUGCUGGCCAGUGGAAUGUGAUGCUUGCAACUUCUGUGCUCCUCACAUCCUCUUCUCCAAUUUCUAUUUUUUUUUUAGUUCUUCUUAUUAUUUUUAAUGGCUUCACUCAUAGCAUAUGCAAGUUCCUGGACAAGGAAAUGAAUCUGAGCCACAGCUGCAGCAACUCCAGAUCCUUUAACCCACCAUGUCAGUCCAGGGAUCAAAUGCUCACCUAUUCAGCGACCUGAGCCACUGCAGUCACAUUCUUAACCCACUGCACUGUGACAGGAACUCCUCCAAUUCCUUUUUUUUUUUUUGUCUUUUUGCCUUUUCUUGGGCCGCUCCUGCAGCAUAUGGCGGUUCCAAUCUCAAUAGUAGGUCAUGUUUGAAAGUUUCUUCACUUGCAAUAUUGUAUCUUUUGUAAUAUGAUAGUUAAACCAUGGGGGCUUCAUAAUUUAGCCAUUCCUUCAGAGUUGAAAAAUUCUUUAAAAACAUAACUAGAUCUUUCUUUCACAUGCUGUCAGAUCUUCAGGAUAGUUACUGAAACUAUGAGUCUUUCAACUCCAUUCACCUAGAGUGCACCAGCUGCUGACUAGGAANNNNNNNNNNNNNNNNNNNNNNNNNNNNNNNNNNNNNNNNNNNNNCUGGAAGUCUUUCCCUCAGAGCAGGAGGCAAUCCAUUGAAGCUGUUAGUGGAUGCUUAAUUGGAGACAAGAUGUUAGUAAAUGCUGCUUUGAGCUUAAGUCUCCUAGGUGAUCAGAUGAGGACCGAGGUAGACAGGAUACCAAAGCAUAACCAAUCAGAGGAGUGGGCAGUCCUGAACACAGCUUGAUCCUUUGCAUACAUGGGGUCACGCUAUUAAAAACUUCCCUGUGAAAUCCUGCAUCGCCCUGGUUAUUGCUUUAUUAUUAAAUAGCAUCACUUGUGUUAUCUUUGGGGUAGUCAUAGUUUUAAUCUUCUGUGGCAUUGAUGGCUAACUGUCCAGCAAAAGUGUGCCCUCUCUAUUUCACUUCAUGGUGUUGAUCCUGGGAGGUAGUUGCCCAAUCAGAGAUACAUUUCCUGUUUGUCUACAUAACUAGUUCCUAACAAAGGAAGAUGAACAAGAAAGACUAUGUCAUCUCCAUCCAGAAGCUUUUAAGCAUGUGAUCUGGAGAUAGCGAAUUCAGAGGCCCCAAGAGAUGAUAGAAUCAAAAGGUGGAAAUAUCCUGAGUUCUCUUCAUGGAGGAAAACUGUCUUCCAUGAAUCAGGAGGAAGACCUACAUCAAGCCCUUACAGUAGUAAGAAGUAGAAAAGGUUUGGGUUUAGUAGAUGCAAACUAUUACACUUAAAAUGCACAAACAAGGUCCUAAUCUAUAGCACAGGGAACUCUACCCAGGCUGCAGCAACGCCAGAUCCUUUAACCCACUGUGCUUGGCCAGGGAUCAAACCUGUGUCCUGGUACUGCAGAAACUCCACCAAUCCUAUUGUGCCACAGCAGGAACUCCUGGCACAAUACUGUAAAUCAACUAUACUUUAAUAUUUUUUUAUUUUAAAAAAGAAGUAAAGAAGAUUUGGUCUUUAUUAAUUGGACCAGCUAGGGUAACCCUAUAACUCCAAACUCUAGGAUAAAGGAAAAGAAAAAUACAGAUACAUAGGUCCUUGAUUUCAAGCCUGGCUUGGGAAAUGUCACAGAGUUACAAUCCUAAAAUAGAUGGGAUAGUCCCAACAUUGAUAAGCUGUAAGAAUUGAAAGGCAUUUCAUAACUCCACAACAUUUCAUAAAUGUUGACAGUCAUUUUUUAGUAAGAAUUUUAAAAUCAUUAGAAGGAGUUGGGAUCCCUCACUGAGAUAGAUUAUCAAAAUGAAGGAAAUAUCUAAUUUGGCAAAUGAGAAACAAAGAGAUUAAAAACAUGGUUGAGGGCAAGAGUGUAAGAGAGGAACAAAGGACAUCGAGUAUUUUCUCUAGGCCAGAAGUACUCAAACAAGUUAUUCCAUCUCAAAUUUACCCUCCUUGAUAUGGUUAUUAUCAAUCUUAUUUACUUGCUAAAAUAUCAAGUCAGAUUAAAGGCGUGAUAGCACUUGCAAACUGUAAAGUACUAAGAAAAGUGAAGCAAUAUCACUGCUAAUAAAUUAAUCAGAACAGGUCUGCAGAUAGAAGGAUAAUAAAAUUAUAUUAAUUUCAUAUAUCUUUCAGAUCAAAUUUAGAAGUUCAAAGAAAAUUGUAAUUAUACAUUAAUAUAGGCAGUAGAAGUUAGAAUUAAAAUGGGAGUGAGAGGUAAGUGGGUGAUUUAUUCAAGAAGUGAGCAAAUUAACAUUUCAAUGCAAAGCAUAUAUCUUCUUUUUAGAAAAUAAGACUAUCUGGACUAUUAGAUUUGUUUCAAUACAGGAAACAGGUCAUUUUAAGACCGAGCUAUUUAAUUGUGUACUUUUUAAAAUCUAUCCAAUUUGCUGAAAUAAUUGCAUUCCAUGUUUUAAAAUAGACCAUUUAUUACUCCAUAAAGAAAAAUUAAUAGUCAAGAUUUGUAUUCAUUUACAAGUUGAAAGAUUAUUCUAAUUGUUUUGAUCUGUUUCUGAGAAUUUCUAUAGCAACUGUCACCAUAGCUUUUAAAUUUUCAGUUAAAGCUAUUAAAAGAUGAGAAACAUUUCAGCCAGUAAAAAAUUUUUACAUUGAUCUAAAAUUAAAGAGUAUGGAAUACGAGAAGAAAGCAAAAAAAGAGAGAAAGGUAUUUUUUCACUGUUUGCUUAUGUGAACUAAUUACCUUGGGAAAAUAUUGAUAUUCCGAAAGGAUGAGAAAGAAAUAAAAUGUAUCAGAGAGGAGUUCCCUUGUGGCCUUAGCACUAGGACUCUAUUGUCACUGCUGUGGCUCAGGCUACUGAGCCUGUGAUACAGGUUCAAUCCCUAGCCCAGGAACUCCACAUUCCAAAGACACAGACAAAAACAAAAAAAAAAAGGUAUCUGAGAAAUGGUUCAGUUAUAUCAGUUAUAUCUGUGCUAAGGUAAUUAGUGUAGUUUGACUUGACUUGGGGAAUGUCAAGCCAAGCACCUAACUCCCAGGACUAAGGAUUCCAAGAGUUCACCUGAGGGAUCCACCAGGCCCACUUGGAAGCUUCAGUUAUUGGCCUGGACAGCAAGGCUCAUGAGGCCCCUGCCUUGAUAACUCAGCAUCUUGCUGAUUUUCCCUCUACCAUCAUCCAUGCCAUCCACACCAGGACUCUGAUGGUGGCCAUGCCUCAUAAAAAUAUUUUCAUCAAGUCUCUUAGAGCCUGGCUUGUGACUCAUCUUAGUUCCACUGUGCUUGAAGCCCAUCCUUCCCUUGGCCCAACCUGGGUGUCCCUUCUUCCACCCCAAGCCAUUUGUCUACUCGCUGGCCCCUGAAUCUCUUGGUCACCUCUGCUGUCUGCUGUGGCCACGUCACCUAUGUCCCUUUUCCGUUUUCUGUCUAAUAGUCCACCAAGGCCUUACCUACUGCUGGGGUCAUUCUUUCUGGGCUUAGACUAGGUUGUUGCCACCCCAAACCUGGUACUGUAACAUAUACAAACAUGGGAUGUGAGGCUCCAGCGUGGAAUAUCAGACAGAUUCUAACAUUGCAGGACACCAAAGUCAAGUGAACCCCCUUCUAUUCAAAAACAUGAAAUAAACCUCAAAUAACAGUAAAAUACUAAUAAUCAGCUUUAUAUUUAUAAUUUUUAAUAUUUACAAUCAGAAAAAUUAAGUUUUAAGAAUUUCUUUAAAGGAAAAUACUACUGUUAGGGCCUACAUGGGGACUCAUUGUUAAAAUGGCUCAAUCUGCUGACCUCACAAAUAAAAUAUGAGGGCGCAGUAACCCCUGAGACUGACCACCUUGCUCUAGCAACACCCUGAUUUUACCACUGGUGCUUACUUUCCCAAGACUACAAGAUCCCCCUACCAUGGGACACCGCACACUUCAGCUUUCUCAAGAUUACAAGACCACCCUACCGUGGGACACCUCUGACUUUCUCAUGACUACAUGACCAUCAGAGUCCAGCUGCAGGCAAAAGAUAAACUAACUCUUCCUCCCACCCCCCCCCACCGCUUCAGGGAAUCCAGUUUCCCACCUGCGGGGUAUAAGAAGGCCCUGCCAGAAGGGCUGGGGGCUGGCUCUUUUAAACGGUCAGUCACCCUCUUCUUUUCCCUCUAAUAAAUUUUCUUCUCUUUGCCUGAACACCUGGCUUGUUCUCUUUUUCUCUGCAUUAGCCUUACAACUACUAGAAAGGGAAUGUAAAUAUUUUAAUUCACUAAGAGAAAACAAAAAAUAGAGACCCAGUGGCAAACAAAAUUGCAAGGAAGCCCGGAAAACAGAAAAUAAGAAUAAGAUAACCGAAGUAAGAAAUUAAACCUUACUUUUUUUCUUUAUAUAUUUUGUAUGCCCUUUUUUUCCUCAGAAAUUUUUCUUCUAGGAUUUUAUUCUAAAGAAACCAUGACUGAUGCAUCAAAGAUAACUACAAGGUUUGUUCACUGCAGUUUUGUUUACUAAUGCAAAAAAUGGAAAAAAUGUC
Molecule: long non-coding RNA, 5206 nt
Filed under: Sus scrofa (pig)
Lineage: Eukaryota; Metazoa; Chordata; Mammalia; Artiodactyla; Suidae
Description: lncRNA (ENSSSCG00005035306.1)
Source: RNAcentral